AACUAACGCUAUUAUUGAUACAGUUUCUGUACUUCAUUGGUAUGAGAAGCUUCCAGGAACUUCCUGUGCAGGGUGCAAGCCCUUAGCACCGGGAUCUUCUGGUAAAUUUUGGAGGGAGGGUCUUCGGACCCUC
Molecule: unclassified non-coding RNA, 133 nt
Filed under: Trypanosoma theileri
Lineage: Eukaryota; Euglenozoa; Kinetoplastea; Trypanosomatida; Trypanosomatidae
Description: trans-spliced leader
Source: RNAcentral